This 1434-nucleotide ribosomal RNA is filed under the name uncultured bacterium. RNAcentral's name for it is "16S ribosomal RNA". It matches the Rfam family "Bacterial small subunit ribosomal RNA". The record is from RNAcentral.
AGAGUUUGAUCCUGGCUCAGGAUGAACGCCGGCGGUGUGCCUAAUACAUGCAAGUCGUACGCACUGGCCCAACUGAUUGAUGGUGCUUGCACCUGAUUGACGUUGGACCACCAGUGAGUGGCGGACGGGUGAGUAACACGUAGGUAACCUGCCCCGGAGCGGGGGAUAACAUUUGGAAACAGAUGCUAAUACCGCAUAACAACAAAAGCCACAUGGCUUUUGUUUGAAAGAUGGCUUUGGCUAUCACUCUGGGAUGGACCCGCGGUGCAUUAGCUAGUUGGUAAGGUAACGGCUUACCAAGGCGAUGAUGCAUAGCCGAGUUGAGAGACUGAUCGGCCACAAUGGAACUGAGACACGGUCCAUACUCCUACGGGAGGCAGCAGUAGGGAAUCUUCCACAAUGGGCGCAAGCCUGAUGGAGCAACACCGCGUGAGUGAAGAAGGGUUUCGGCUCGUAAAGCUCUGUUGUUGGAGAAGAACGUGCGUGAGAGUAACUGUUCACGCAGUGACGGUAUCCAACCAGAAAGUCACGGCUAACUACGUGCCAGCAGCCGCGGUAAUACGUAGGUGGCAAGCGUUAUCCGGAUUUAUUGGGCGUAAAGCGAGCGCAGGCGGUUGCUUAGGUCUGAUGUGAAAGCCUUCGGCUUAACCGAAGAAGUGCAUCGGAAACCGGGCGACUUGAGUGCAGAAGAGGACAGUGGAACUCCAUGUGUAGCGGUGGAAUGCGUAGAUAUAUGGAAGAACACCAGUGGCGAAGGCGGCUGUCUGGUCUGCAACUGACGCUGAGGCUCGAAAGCAUGGGUAGCGAACAGGAUUAGAUACCCUGGUAGUCCAUGCCGUAAACGAUGAGUGCUAGGUGUUGGAGGGUUUCCGCCCUUCAGUGCCGGAGCUAACGCAUUAAGCACUCCGCCUGGGGAGUACGACCGCAAGGUUGAAACUCAAAGGAAUUGACGGGGGCCCGCACAAGCGGUGGAGCAUGUGGUUUAAUUCGAAGCUACGCGAAGAACCUUACCAGGUCUUGACAUCCAGUGCAAACCUUAGAGAUAAGGCGUUCCCUUCGGGGACGCAAUGACAGGUGGUGCAUGGUCGUCGUCAGCUCGUGUCGUGAGAUGUUGGGUUAAGUCCCGCAACGAGCGCAACCCUUGUUACUAGUUGCCAGCAUUAAGUUGGGCACUCUAGUGAGACUGCCGGUGACAAACCGGAGGAAGGUGGGGACGACGUCAGAUCAUCAUGCCCCUUAUGACCUGGGCUACACACGUGCUACAAUGGACGGUACAACGAGACGCAAGCUCGCGAGAGUAAGCUAAUCUCUUAAAGCCGUUCUCAGUUCGGACUGUAGGCUGCAACUCGCCUACACGAAGUCGGAAUCGCUAGUAAUCGCGGAUCAGCAUGCCGCGGUGAAUACGUUCCCGGGCCUUGCACUCACCGCCCGUCA